CAGGGGUCAAGUUGGAGCUACCGCUGCUGGUCUACACCACAGCCCCAGCAACAUGGGAUCCGAUCUGCAUCUGCAACCUAUACCACAGCUCAAGGCAACACCAGACCCCUGGCCCACUGAGCAAGGCCAGGGACCGAAUCCGCAUCCUCAUAGAGAUGAGUUUCUGCUGCGUCACCACAGGAAUGCCUGUUUAUUUUUUUAGCUAAGCCUUUUUCUGGGAAGGGCUAGCUGAUGCAUCACUGUUAGCUCCAUAGGAAUUGUAGGAAGGACUUGAGAAAACAUUUUCCACUGUGAGGAAGCGUGACAGAAUUGCAUGGACAGGUGAAAAACAUUUACAGGUAAGGGGCUUGAAAAAUGGCUUUGCCGUGGUGCAGUGACCUGGGAAACCAGGCCCUCUCAUCUGUGCCUGGUAGCCCCCAGUGCUUGUGUAAAAAUAGGGUGGUAGGACAGGUGUACUAGCCCUGGUCUAAAAGCUCCAUGAAUCGCCAAGCAGGGCCAAGCUUUCCCGUUGGCUCCGGGUGCUCAGUACAUCUCUGUGCAGGAAGAUACUGUCUGAAAAAGCAACCUGAACCAUUCUCUCUGCCUGGCAGAGGGAUCGCCAGCCCCGCUGUCACCCCUGGGGAGUGAGGGGACAAAAAAGGAGAGAGGACCGAUGACCAUUAACAUUCGAUACCCAGAACCCUCUGUGGGUCUAGCUGCAUGAUGUCCUUGAGUCUCUGGGUGUGGCUGACAGGUGGACUCGGAGAGCUCCUUCUCACCAGACUCUAAGUCUCACAACUGAGGUGACAUGUGUGGCCUGUGAAUGCAUUAGGGGCUAACGUGUCAGAACUAAGGUCUCAAAGUGUUGGCUUAUGGGAGUUCUCUUCAUAGCUCAGUGGUUAACCCGACCAGGAUCCAUGAGAAUUUGGGUUCCAUCGCUGGCCUCGCUCAGUGGGUUAAGGAUCCAGCAUUACCACGAGCUGUGGUGUAGGUUGCAGAUGCAGCUUGGAUCCUGAGUUGCCACGGCUGUGGCGUAGGCCAGCAGCUAUACUCUGAUUAGACCCUUAGCCUGGGAACCUCCAUAUGCUGCAGGUGUGGCCCUAAAAAGCAGAAGAAAAAAAAAAGUGUUGGCUUAUACAAAACCAUCUUAAAAGAAGUAUUUGGUUCUAUUUGGUGUUUGUAAGAGUAAUAUUGGUAUCAGCUUAGGUAGGGUUUGCUGUGUGCCAGGCCCUCUUCUAGUCACAUGUAUGUUACAUAUUUAUACAGACAAAAGUGUUUUACAAAAUCUACAUAUUUACAUUUCAAAUUAUAUAUUAAAAUUGAUGUAUAUCUUUUAUUCCUCACAUGAGCCUUAUGACAUAGGCACUCAUGUGUUUUUCGGGGGAGGCAAGUGAGACGUGAAGUGAUUCAGUGAGGUGUCCAGGAUAAAUGGUACACCUGAGACUCUCAAACCCAGCUGAUCUGUUGCUGGAGCCAGUGCUGCUAACGAUUGUGUUGUUUCUAGAUUUGUUCGAGCCAAUUUUAUUUAUUUAUUUUUUUUGGCUUUUUAGGACCGUACCUGAGGCAUAUGGACGUUCCCAGGCUAGGGGUUGAAUCACCUGUCGGAGCAGAGCCACAGCAGUACCGGAUCCGAGCCAUACCUGCCACCCGCACCACUGCUCACAGCAAUGCUGGAUCCUUAACCCACUGGGUGAGGCCAGGGAUCAAACCCACGUCCUCAUGGAUACUAGUCAGGUUUGUAAUCUGCUGGGCCACAGUGGAAACUCCUGAGCCAAUAUUUUUUUUUAAAGAAUUAUUUAUUUUGAGCCAAAUUAUUUUAAUCGGGAGAUUUCAUACCACAAUCUGGAGCCAGCUUCUCUUGACAGGUCAGAAGAAUUGGGGACCCUGGGCUGUCCCCCUUGGGGGAGCAACUGGCUGGUGCCCAGUCAGCCCCCCCCGCCACCCCUCCUGCUGCCUCUUGUUCCUGGCUCCGAGUCCCUGCUCACUUGACCCGGUUCCCGUACCUAUUUGUACCUGCAGACAUUUCUGUUUUCAACCUCUGGGUUAAGCUUGAAAAUAUUUGUAGAUAUGACAUGUGUCCCAGUGUCAGGCCCUUGUCCUCCAGGAUGGCACGUAUUUUCAGCCUCAUUUUCCCUGUGAGGUCAUCACGCAGAGUGACCCAGUGAGCUCUGCUCCACAUCUGUGCUUGGUUCCUGUAUCAUUCCUUCUCACCUUGGGGUCUGGGGCUUCCUCUGACCCUGUUAGGGAUUCUCUGCAAAAGCUGAUAAUUAGAGCAGAACGUGUGGGACUGAAGCAGCUGAGUGUGAAAAGGCUAACAGCCCAGGUGUGUUUUUGCCUGUGCACAGACUAGGCAGCUACAGAGCAUGGUCGGCUCUCUACAACUAUUGAGUGGAAAAUAGACCAGAAAGUGUAACUCUUGGAGAGGAAAGAAAUUUGACAAUAUUUCAAAAAGUGAGUCAGUAUCUAGUAUAUACUUCUUUUUUCUUUUUUCUUUCGUCUUUUGAGGGCCACACCCAAGGCAUGUAGAGGUUUCCAGGCUAGGGGUCCAAUUGGAGCUCUUACUGCCAGCCUACACCACAACCACAGUAAUGCCAGAUCUGAGCCGAGUAUGCAACCUACACCACAGCUCACGGCAACGCCAGAUCCUUAACCCACUGAGCGAGGCCAGGGAUCGAACCCACAACCUCAUGGUUCCUAGUUGGAUUCAUUUCCACUGUGCCACAACGGGAAUUCCAAUGUAUACAUUUUUAAAUGUUUUAUUUACUGAGCUCCCCCUUCCCCCUCCUUAUUACUAGAGGAAAUAACCAUGCUUUUUCUAGCCUGUAAUCCAGGAUGAUUUGUCAUUGUUGUUGUUAAGAAAAUGCAGUGUGGCCCAUUUUCUCAAGCAAGUUGGUUUUAAGAUGCCCAGAAUUCUCUGCAGGUGUCUGGAGAGUUGGAGCAAAAGCACUCGCUAUCAAGAGCCACUGAGAAGGGAGGUUUGGGCUUGGUAAUUGUCUCAGCAGGUGGUUGGGGGUCCUUGACCUUCAAGAAACUUUUGUGUUGCCAGCUGUACCAGGGGGCUCAGGGGCUUAGUCUUCCCUCAUGGGAGCAGGUUUUCUUGUUACCUAUUAUAAGGCUGAAACCACCAUGUGAGGGUUUUUUGCACAGCCCCGUCUGCUUCCCGGUCUCAAUGUGCUGUGUUUGUUUUGUCCCCCCUCCGUGACCCUCAUUCCACAGAAGUUGUGUAUCUGGAAGAGUGACUUCCCUUUGGUCGUAGCCGCACGUGGGCUGGGUAAUCUGUAAAAUUCGGAUCGUGUUCAGUCAAUGCCAUGGUCAUUGACCGUGUAACUCAGGCAAGGCAGUGGGCUGGACUGCUACGUGGAAACACAGGCCACUAAGAGGUGGUCUGUGUCUUAAGGGACCCAGUUGGGGCAUAUAAAGCAAAAGCCUACAGGAGUGUAAUAGCUGUAGGAAAUGAAAACGUGAAUCAGAGGAGGAAGGGGGAAUACGCAGCCGUGAUGAAUUUCCAAGUGCAGGCCAAGAAGGGAGGUGAGCUAGAGAAAGUCUGGGUUCUCUUUGAUAAGAUUCCUUCCUGGAGAAGCUGGGGAGCCCGGAGUGAGUGUGCACAGCACAAUGAGAGGGACGCUUGGAAGGGGAACAAAGCUGCUUGUGUAAGUGCGACGGGGGAUGCUAGCCUCUUCAGCCGAGUCUGGAAAUUCAUUCUGUAACAAAGAGCUGUCAUUCCAAGUCAAUGACACCUUCUAAAUCCUCUCAGACUGUGCCCAAAAUUACAGAGAAGAAAUGGCAGGUCGAUUCCAUUUGGCCAGAACUGGGUAGCUGUGUACUUCGCUCACAUACCUAGAUCUAACGGAGAUGAGACAGAGUGGCCAGGCGAUAAAGCGAGUCAGUCCAGGAUGGGGAGGAGGCUGAUGCAGAACAGAUAACGAAGGGGCGAGAUUUGAAAGCAUGGCGUCUAAGUCUUGCUGUGUAAUGAACAGAGGAGAGUGGAGGGCUGAGAUCUGAGACCCCAGUGCACCUGUGUCUGGAGCUCCCCUGCCAGCAGCUUGGCUUCAGCUCUGGGAAAUGUGGGUGAGCUCCCUGGGAACCUGACUGCCUCGGGCCACCUUGACUGCUUGUUGAAAAGAGCCAAAGGCCAGUAUUUCCUCUAAAGGUCAUAGAUAGGUGGCCUGGUGGUUAAGAACUUGAACUUCGGUAUCAAGUUCUGGCUCCCCCAUCUACUGGCUGUGUGGCCUUGAGCAAGGCACCUACCCUCUCUGAGCCUUGGAUUCAUCAUUUGUGAAAUGAAAGAAAAAAAA
This 4274-nucleotide long non-coding RNA is filed under the name Sus scrofa (pig). Its description in RNAcentral is "lncRNA (ENSSSCG00055000428.1)". Lineage: Eukaryota; Metazoa; Chordata; Mammalia; Artiodactyla; Suidae. The record is from RNAcentral.